AGGCCCUACGGGACGCAGCAGUAGGGAAUCUUCCACAAUGGGCGAAAGCCUGAUGGAGCAACGCCGCGUGGGUGAAGAAGGUCUUCGGAUCGUAAACCUCUUUCAGCAGGGAAGACAAAAGGACGGUACCUGCAGAAGAAGCCACGGCUGACUACGUGCCAGCAGCCGCGGUAAUACGUAGGUGGCAAGCGUUAUCCGGAAUUACUGGGUGUAAAGGGUGUGUAGGCGGG
This 230-nucleotide ribosomal RNA is filed under the name uncultured bacterium. Its description in RNAcentral is "partial 16S ribosomal RNA". It matches the Rfam family "Bacterial small subunit ribosomal RNA", at positions 334 to 579 of the family's 1533-position model. The record is from RNAcentral.